UGGGGAAUUUUGGACAAUGGGCGCAAGCCUGAUCCAGCAAUGCCGCGUGCAGGAUGAAGGCCUUCGGGUUGUAAACUGCUUUUGUACGGAACGAAAAGCUUCUGGUUAAUACCUGGGGCUAAUGACGGUACCGUAAGAAUAAGCACCGGCUAACUACGUGCCAGCAGCCGCGGUAAUACGUAGGGUGCGAGCGUUAAUCGGAAUUACUGGGCGUAAAGCGUGCGCAGGCGGUGAUGUAAGACAGAUGUGGAAUCCCCGGGCUCAACCUGGGACCUGCAUUUGUGACUGCAUAGCUAGAGUACGGCAGAGGGGGAUGGAAUUCCGCGUGUAGCAGUGAAAUGCGUAGAUAUGCGGAGGAACACCGAUGGCGAAGGCAAUCCCCUGGGCCUGUACUGACGCUCAUGCACGAAAGCGUGGGGAGCAAACA
This 427-nucleotide ribosomal RNA is filed under the name uncultured bacterium. RNAcentral describes it as "bacterial SSU rRNA". It matches the Rfam family "Bacterial small subunit ribosomal RNA", at positions 355 to 774 of the family's 1533-position model. The record is from RNAcentral.